Molecule: ribosomal RNA, 1249 nt
Filed under: metagenome
Description: bacterial SSU rRNA
Rfam family: Bacterial small subunit ribosomal RNA
Source: RNAcentral
UUGUUAUUAAGUUUUGUCGGUGGGGGAUGGGCUCGCGGCCUAUCAGCUUGUUGGUGGGGUGAUGGCCUACCAAGGCGUCGACGGGUAGCCGGCCUGAGAGGGUGACCGGCCACACUGGGACUGAGACACGGCCCAGACUCCUACGGGAGGCAGCAGUGGGGGAUAUUGCACAAUGGGCGCAAGCCUGAUGCAGCGACGCCGCGUGAGGGAUGACGGCUUUCGGGUUGUAAACCUCUUUCGUUACCGAACAAGGCUCUGCUUUUUGGUGGGGUUGAGGGUAGGUGGAUAAGAAGCGCCGGCUAACUACGUGCCAGCAGCCGCGGUAAUACGUAGGGCGCGAGCGUUGUCCGGAAUUAUUGGGCGUAAAGAGCUCGUAGGCGGCUUGUCGCGUCUGCUGUGAAAACGCGGGGCUUAACUCCGCGCGUGCAGUGGGUACGGGCAGGCUAGAGUGUGGUAGGGGUGACUGGAAUUCCUGGUGUAGCGGUGGAAUGCGCAGAUAUCAGGAGGAACACCGAUGGCGAAGGCAGGUCACUGGGCCAUUACUGACGCUGAGGAGCGAAAGCAUGGGGAGCGAACAGGAUUAGAUACCCUGGUAGUCCAUGCCGUAAACGUUGGGCACUAGGUGUGGGGCCUGUUUCCACGGGUUCUGCGCCGUAGCUAACGCAUUAAGUGCCCCGCCUGGGGAGUACGGCCGCAAGGCUAAAACUCAAAGGAAUUGACGGGGGCCCGCACAAGCGGCGGAGCAUGCGGAUUAAUUCGAUGCAACGCGAAGAACCUUACCAAGGCUUGACAUGCACCGGAAUCGCGCAGAGAUGUGUGAGCCCUUGUGGCUGGUGUGCAGGUGGUGCAUGGUUGUCGUCAGCUCGUGUCGUGAGAUGUUGGGUUAAGUCCCGCAACGAGCGCAACCCUUGUCUCGUGUUGCCAGCACUUUGGGUGGGGACUCACGAGAGACUGCCGGGGUUAACUCGGAGGAAGGUGGGGAUGACGUCAAAUCAUCAUGCCCCUUAUGUCUUGGGCUUCACGCAUGCUACAAUGGCCGGUACAGAGUGUUGCGAUACUGUGAGGUGGAGCGAAUCACUUAAAGCCGGUCUCAGUACGGAUUGGGGUCUACAACUCGGCCCCAUGAAGUCGGAGUCGCUAGUAAUCGCAGAUCAGCAACGCUGCGGUGAAUACGUUCUCGGGCCUUGUACACACCGCCCGUCACGUCACGAAAGUCGGCAACACCCGAAGCGCAUGGCCCAACCGGUAU